Molecule: ribosomal RNA, 457 nt
Filed under: uncultured bacterium
Lineage: Bacteria
Description: partial 16S ribosomal RNA
Rfam family: Bacterial small subunit ribosomal RNA
Source: RNAcentral
GAUAAACGCUGGCGCGUGCAUGAGCCAUGCAAGUCGAACGAAGGAUCGGGCUUGCUCGAUCCUUAGUGGCGGACGGCUGAGUAACGCGUAGGUGACCUACCCCGAAGUGGGGAAUAACUGCCCGAAAGGGUGGCUAAUACCGCAUGUGGUCGCACGUUCAUUCGUGCGAGUAAAGCCGCAAGGCGCUUCGGGAGGGGCCUGCGUCCGAUUAGCUCGUUGGUGGGGUAAUGGCUUACCAAGGCGACGAUCGGUAGGUGGUCUGAGAGGACGAUCACCCAGACUGGGACUGAGACACGGCCCAGACUCCUACGGGAGGCAGCAGUCGGGAAUUUUGCUCAAUGGGGGAAACCCUGAAGCAGCAACGCCGCGUGAGGGAUGAAGGCCUUCGGGUUGUAAACCUCUUUUGUCAGGGACGAUGAUGACGGUACCUGGCGAAUAAGCCACGGCUAACUACGUG